Molecule: unclassified non-coding RNA, 338 nt
Filed under: soil metagenome
Description: partial contains 5.8S ribosomal RNA, internal transcribed spacer 2, and large subunit ribosomal RNA
Rfam family: 5.8S ribosomal RNA (bases 1-120)
Source: RNAcentral
GAUGAAGAACGCAGCGAAAUGCGAUAAGUAAUGCGAAUUGCAGAAUUCCGUGAGUCAUCGAAUCUUUGAACGCACAUUGCGCCCUCUGGUAUUCCGGAGGGCAUGCCUGUCUGAGCGUCAUUGUCAACCCUCAAGCUCAGCUUGCUGUUGGGUCCCCGUCGUUGCUUUAACGGCGGACCCGAAAGGUAAUGGCAGAGUCCGUGAGACCCUAGACGCAGCGAGCUUCUAGCACGCGUCUGGACGUUUUUCAGGCUCGGUCUUAACUAGAUGAUAACUUCCGAUUGACCUCAGAUCAGGUAGGGAUACCCGCUGAACUUAAGCAUAUCAUAAGCGGAGGA